GGGCUAAUCACGGUUGGACAUCGUGAGGUUAGUGCAAUGGCAUAAGCCCGCUUGACUGCGAGAAUGACAAUUCGAGCAGGUGCGAAAGCAGGUCAUAGUGAUCCGGUGGUUCUGAAUGGAAGGGCCAUCGCUCAACGGAUAAAAGGUACUCCGGGGAUAACAGGCUGAUACCGCCCAAGAGUUCAUAUCGACGGCGGUGUUUGGCACCUCGAUGUCGGCUCAUCACAUCCUGGGGCUGAAGU
This 242-nucleotide ribosomal RNA is filed under the name Vibrio parahaemolyticus. RNAcentral's name for it is "partial 23S ribosomal RNA". It matches the Rfam family "Bacterial large subunit ribosomal RNA", at positions 2318 to 2559 of the family's 2925-position model. The record is from RNAcentral. Lineage: Bacteria; Pseudomonadati; Pseudomonadota; Gammaproteobacteria; Vibrionales; Vibrionaceae.